UAAAACUAUCAUGUGAAUAAUGUCAAACUAGCCUACAGGUGUGGAUAAGAGACCAGAUGGAAGAGAAUUAAGAUGCCUUGACUCAUAGUCUUGCCAGUCACUGGACACAGUGAGGUCACCCUAUACCAUUCAAAUACCAGCCAUUUACCAGCUGACCAUGAAUACGUGAGACAGCACAGCCCAGCACCCAGGAUGGGUCAGGUCAGAAGCACAGAACCAAUCAACAGAAUACUGAAGUAAAUGAAAGGGUCUUAAAACAAGGCAGAAAUAUCUUCAUUGUGCAGAGGAGGAGGUUAGCAAUGGAGAGUCAGUGAAGUUGUGGAUCCAGGAGAAUGGAACCUGAGAAUUCAAAUUCUGGUUUCUACAUCUGAGAGAGAGGACCAAUGGAAAUUUCCCCAAUUAUGGAAAUGCUAUUCAAGAG
This is a long non-coding RNA of Herpailurus yagouaroundi (jaguarundi), 421 nucleotides long. RefSeq lists it as uncharacterized. The record is from RefSeq and is a predicted model, not a curated record. The transcript has 3 exons. Lineage: Eukaryota; Metazoa; Chordata; Mammalia; Carnivora; Felidae.